This 443-nucleotide ribosomal RNA is filed under the name Micromonospora sp. AMSO1212t. RNAcentral describes it as "bacterial SSU rRNA". It matches the Rfam family "Bacterial small subunit ribosomal RNA", at positions 345 to 780 of the family's 1533-position model. Lineage: Bacteria; Bacillati; Actinomycetota; Actinomycetes; Micromonosporales; Micromonosporaceae. The record is from RNAcentral.
GAGGCAGCAGUGGGGAAUAUUGCACAAUGGGCGCAAGCCUGAUGCAGCCAUGCCGCGUGUAUGAAGAAGGCCUUCGGGUUGUAAAGUACUUUCAGCGGGGAGGAAGGCGAUAAGGUUAAUAACCUUGUCGAUUGACGUUACCCGCAGAAGAAGCACCGGCUAACUCCGUGCCAGCAGCCGCGGUAAUACGGAGGGUGCAAGCGUUAAUCGGAAUUACUGGGCGUAAAGCGCACGCAGGCGGUCUGUCAAGUCGGAUGUGAAAUCCCCGGGCUCAACCUGGGAACUGCAUCUGAUACUGGCAGGCUUGAGUCUUGUAGAGGGGGGUAGAAUUCCAGGUGUAGCGGUGAAAUGCGUAGAGAUCUGGAGGAAUACCGGUGGCGAAGGCGGCCCCCUGGACAAAGACUGACGCUCAGGUGCGAAAGCGUGGGGAGCAAACAGGAUUA